UGGCCCUUUCCAAUGAAGAAAAAAAAAUAUAUAUAUUAAUAAUAAGAGGCAAUGCCUCUUUUUCUCUCAGAACCGAGAGAAGGAAAGAAGAGAAAGAAAAGAUGGGGAAACUUUUCUCAUUUUUGCGAUCUACGGAGAUCCAACGGUUUGAUCUUCAAUCCGUCUACGGAAACGUAAUCCUUGAAGCCCGAUCUACGUUUUGACCGAACUUUUUAAGGAUAGUGUCCGGAUUGGAGACUUUAAUGGGUUCUCCAAUGUAGAGUUCGAGUCAUGUGUCCAAUGCAGCCAAGAUGAUGUUCUUUUGGCUGCAGGUAUUCCGGUCGUAGUUGAUAGCAUUGUAGAAGGGUAUUUUGGAUGUUAUGACUGAAGCACGCCGCAACGGUCGUAAUUGGUGGACCACGGGUUGUCCACUUGUUUAUAGGUUUAGUUUAUGGCUUGUGACGUUUGUGUCACUUGUUAUUGUACAAAACCAUUUAUGUCACUUAUUUAAUUCGUGGAAAGAUUUAAUCAUAUAGAUACUUAAUGGCUCUUUGUUGUAAUUAUUUGUGAUAGAUGUAUAAGAUGUGAUUUCCGCUAUUAGGUUAUGUUUUCCGCUGCAUAGUUGAUAGAUGUUAUACUCUGAUUUAUCAGGUACAUAUUAUGGGGUAUGUACAUAUGUUGGCUUUGCGACAUAUCGUCGUGCCACUGUGAAGAUCCGUUUAUAUUUUAAGGGAUUAAUGAUUAUGUGGAUGUUUUGUAGCAAAAAAAAAAAAAAAAAAAAAAAAAAAAAAAAAAAAAAAAAAAAAACGGGUCGUCACAAUUUUUCUUGCUUAAGAUUUAUGUGUAGACGUGAUAUGUAUAAUGGAAUGAUUGUGUGCACAUAUGCCUAAGCUACCAUUCAAAAGUAUUAUUAUAGAGGAGUCUAUAUGUAAAAACUUCCAAUGAAGGAUGAUUGGAACUUCUACAUGAUAUGUUCACAGCUAUAUAGUAUGUUUUAAAUGUUUUCUAGCUAGUCAGUGUUUAUUAUAUUAGCUAUUGGUAAAUUGUGGCUGAUAUAAUACUCGCAUGACUAAAAAUAAAAUAAAGGUUAGUUCUUUAUGAAAAUUCAGUUAGUUUAAUAUCACUGAGGUCUUAGUAUGUUUUAUACUGAGAUAGUGGAGUUAUUCUUUCACCUAUGCAGAUGUAGAUACCACCACAACCGGGUAAAUGAUAUUCUUAUAAUUGCAUGUACUCCUGAUGUGGAUGAUGAUCCGGUAGCGUUCUAUUUGGGUUACUACGAUUGAAGCCUGUAGCGACAGUCGUAGUGGGAUGGACUGUGGUGUAAAGACCAAGAAAAAUAAUAAGUAUUUAGUAUUUAAUGAUUUAUGUUUUUAAAUAAGAUGAGAUUAAUAAUUAGGUUUUAAGUGAUAAUAUUUGUGUUAUCUAAAAUAAAAUGAGUUUAGGAUAGAAUAAUAAAAUAAGAUAGGGUAAUAGUGCAAUUUAAAAAUGAUAGGGGCUAGUAUUAAAUAAGACCAAAGCUUGGCCUUAUCCGUAGCCACGUGUGUGGCUAUGGAUUAAUGGGGAGAUAUUUCUCCCCUCAAUCAUGCAUCAGCCCCCCCGCCCCCCCCAUUCUUCUUCCUCUGUUCUUCUUUUCUCCUUUGUUCUUCCUUCUGCCCGAGCGACACAGAGAUGCGAGACAGAGAGAUAUCGAGAGUUUGAGAAGAGAGGAUCCAGUGAUUCGUGAGGGGAGACUCGGAACCCAGGGGGACCCGAUCCUCUGUGGACGGUGGCUGGAGCUGAUGGUGCCGGUGGAACCAAGACCCGAAUUUCGGUGGGUCUAGCAGAGGCGAAAUAGAGAGAGGGAGACUCGAGAGACGGAGACUGAGAAAGAGAGAAAGGGAAGUUUGAGAGAGUGAGUCCGAGAGUGAGAGUGAUGCUGUCGGAGAGUGAGUACGAACCGGAGAAGAAGAGAAACCCAGAGACCCGUAGCAGACCUGAGCCGAACCCGUCAACGUUGGUGACCUGUGAGCUGAUUUCCGGAUCGUGUCAUAGUUGGAGACUUCAACGGGUUCUCCAAUGUAGAGUUCGAGUCGUGAGUCCAAUGCAGCCAAGAUGGAUGAUGUUUCUUUGGCUGCAGGUACUUCGGUAUAGUCGAUGGGUCGGUAGCAGUGUGCUUGGGAUAUUAUGACUGAAGCUCGCCGCGACAGUUGUAAUUGUCGGACCACGGGUUGUCCACUGUUUUAUAGGUUUGGUAUGGCUUGUGACGUUUGUGUCACUUAUUCUUUGUUAAGCCAUUAUUGUUAUAGUGUUAAUAAGACUCAAGCAGAUAGAUGUUAAAUGGCUCUUUGUUGUAAUUAACUUGUGAUAGAUGUAUAAGUUGUAAUUUCCGCUAUUCAGAUUUA
Long non-coding RNA from Alnus glutinosa, 2360 nucleotides. RefSeq lists it as uncharacterized. The transcript has 5 exons. The record is from RefSeq and is a predicted model, not a curated record. NCBI's taxonomy places the organism in Eukaryota, Viridiplantae, Streptophyta, Magnoliopsida, Fagales, Betulaceae.